UUCCUUCGGGACAGGAGAGACAGGUGGUGCAUGGUUGUCGUCAGCUCGUGUCGUGAGAUGUUGGGUUAAGUCCCGCAACGAGCGCAACCCCUAUCUUUAGUAGCCAGCAUAUAAGGUGGGCACUCUAGAGAGACUGCCAGGGAUAACCUGGAGGAAGGUGGGGACGACGUCAAAUCAUCAUGCCCCUUAUGACCAGGGCUACACACGUGCUACAAUGGCGUAAACAGAGGGAAGCAGCCUCGUGAGAGUGAGCAAAUCCCAAAAAUAACGUCUCAGUUCGGAUUGUAGUCUGCAACUCGACUACAUGAAGCUGGAAUCGCUAGUAAUCGCGAAUCAGAAUGUCGCGGUGAAUACGUUCCCGGGUCUUGUACACACCGCCCGUCACACCAUGGGAGUCAGUAACGCCCGAAGUCAGUGACCCAACCGUAAGGAGGGAGCUGCCGAAGGCGGGACCGAUAACUGGGGUGAAGUCGUAACAAGGUAGCCGUAUCGGAAGGUGCGGCUGGAUCACCUCCUUUCUAAGGAA
Molecule: ribosomal RNA, 526 nt
Filed under: Lachnospiraceae bacterium AM21-21
Lineage: Bacteria; Bacillati; Bacillota; Clostridia; Lachnospirales; Lachnospiraceae
Description: bacterial SSU rRNA
Rfam family: Bacterial small subunit ribosomal RNA
Source: RNAcentral